This 21-nucleotide non-coding RNA is filed under the name Rattus norvegicus (Norway rat). The record is from RNAcentral. Lineage: Eukaryota; Metazoa; Chordata; Mammalia; Rodentia; Muridae.
UUCUUCCUGAGGCCCAAGCAA